RNAcentral lists this ribosomal RNA (497 nucleotides) under uncultured bacterium. RNAcentral describes it as "partial 16S ribosomal RNA". It matches the Rfam family "Bacterial small subunit ribosomal RNA", at positions 28 to 507 of the family's 1533-position model. The record is from RNAcentral.
GAUGAACGCUGGCGGCGUGCCUAAUACAUGCAAGUCGAGCGAACGGACGAGAAGCUUGCUUCUCUGAUGUUAGCGGCGGACGGGUGAGUAACACGUGGAUAACCUACCUAUAAGACUGGGAUAACUUCGGGAAACCGGAGCUAAUACCGGAUAAUAUUUUGAACCGCAUGGUUCAAAAGUAAAAGACGGUCUUGCUGUCACUUAUAGAUGGAUCCGCGCUGCAUUAGCUAGUUGGUAAGGUAACGGCUUACCAAGGCAACGAUGCAUAGCCGACCUGAGAGGGUGAUCGGCCACACUGGAACUGAGACACGGUCCAGACUCCUACGGGAGGCAGCAGUAGGGAAUCUCCCGCAAUGGGCGAAAGCCUGACGGAGCAACGCCGCGUGAGUGAUGAAGGUCUUCGGAUCGUAAAACUCUGUUAUUAGGGAAGAACAUAUGUGUAAGUAACUGUGCACAUCUUGACGGUACCUAAUCAGAAAGCCACGGCUAACUACGUG